This 440-nucleotide ribosomal RNA is filed under the name uncultured bacterium. RNAcentral's name for it is "partial 16S ribosomal RNA". It matches the Rfam family "Bacterial small subunit ribosomal RNA", at positions 338 to 795 of the family's 1533-position model. The record is from RNAcentral.
CCUACGGGGGGCAGCAGUGGGGGAUAUUGCACAAUGGGGGGAACCCUGAUGCAGCGACGCCGCGUGGGUGAAGGAGCGUUUCGGCGCGUAAAGCCCUAUCGGCAGGGAAGAAGGAGGACGGUACCUGACUAAGAAGCCCCGGCUAACUACGUGCCAGCAGCCGCGGUAAUACGUAGGGGGCAAGCGUUAUCCGGAUUUACUGGGUGUAAGGGGGGCGCAGACGGCAGCGCAAGCCAGGGGUGAAAGCCCGGGGCCAAACCCGGGACGGCGCUUGGAACUGGGCGGCUGGAGUACAGGAGGGGCAGGCGGAAUGCCUGGUGUAGCGGUGAAAUGCGUAGAUAUCAGGAGGAACACCGGUGGCGAAGGCGGCCUGCUGGACUGCGACUGACGUUGAGGCCCGAAAGCGUGGGGAGCAAACAGGAUUAGAUACCCGUGUAGUC